UUUAAAAUUUAAAAGUUAAAAUUUUAAAUUUAAAAUUAUAAAUGCAAAAUCUAAAAAUUUAAAAUUUAAAUAUAAUAAGAUGGGUAAUAUCAUUAUUUUUAAUUUAUAACUAUCCACUAUUCCUCUUAUUCCAUCUUAUCUAUGCAGACACUAUUUUUCUUAUUCUCGAAAACAACUAAAUUUUCAUCGAAAUACAAAAUUGGUCUAACCGACCGUCCCUAGAGCAAAUGGCAAAGGGCUUAGUGGUUGAUACCCGAGACCCAAAUUUGAAUCCUAGUUGAUUCACAUUUCUAGCUAAGUUUAUUUCUAAAUAAAAUAAACGAAGCGGGUAGCGUGCUAUCUAUCUCUCAAUAAAAAAAAAACAAAAAAACAAAAAAAACACACACACACACACACAAAAUUAGUCUAGUUCUCGCUUAUAUCUAAAGUUGUACCUAUCCCUGAUAUAAGCUAGUUCUUCCUUAUACUUGAACCAAAGGAAGCCCUAAAAGAUCACGGAGUCAAAUUAGACCAUAAUCCACUAAAACAACCCAAAAUUCAACAGAACUAAAACCCAAGCAACUCUAUAUGCAGCGCCCACCGAGAAUUUGCAUAUGAAUUACUUGCGACAAAGAAUAACUUGAUUACCGACCGUGCCUAGAGCAAGUGGUAAAGAACUUGGUGGUUUAUACUUGAGACCCAAGUUUGAAUCCUAAUUGAUUCACAUUUCUAGCUAAGUUUAUUUCUAAAUAAAAUAAACGAAACAAGUAACGUGCUAUCUAUCUCUCUAAAAAAAAAAAAGAAAAAGAAAAAGAAUAACUUGAUUAUUAUUAAAUUAUCGCUCCUCCACAU
RNAcentral lists this long non-coding RNA (831 nucleotides) under Ananas comosus (pineapple). RNAcentral's name for it is "long non-coding RNA (ACOM_LNC017392)". Lineage: Eukaryota; Viridiplantae; Streptophyta; Magnoliopsida; Poales; Bromeliaceae. The record is from RNAcentral.